CGAAUACCGGAGAAUGUUAUCACGGGAGACACACGGCGGGUGCUAACGUCCGUCGUGAAGAGGGAAACAACCCAGACCGCCAGCUAAGGUCCCAAAGUCAUGGUUAAGUGGGAAACGAUGUGGGAAGGCCCAGACAGCCAGGAUGUUGGCUUAGAAGCAGCCAUCAUUUAAAGAAAGCGUAAUAGCUCACUGGUCGAGUCGGCCUGCGCGGAAGAUGUAACGGGGCUAAACCAUGCACCGAAGCUGCGGCAGCGACGCUUAUGCGUUGUUGGGUAGGGGAGCGUUCUGUAAGCCUGCGAAGGUGUGCUGUGAGGCAUGCUGGAGGUAUCAGAAGUGCGAAUGCUGACAUAAGUAACGAUAAAGCGGGUGAAAAGCCCGCUCGCCGGAAGACCAAGGGUUCCUGUCCAACGUUAAUCGGGGCAGGGUGAGUCGACCCCUAAGGCGAGGCCGAAAGGCGUAGUCGAUGGGAAACAGGUUAAUAUUCCUGUACUUGGUGUUACUGCGAAGGGGGGACGGAGAAGGCUAUGUUGGCCGGGCGACGGUUGUCCCGGUUUAAGCGUGUAGGCUGGUUUUCCAGGCAAAUCCGGAAAAUCAAGGCUGAGGCGUGAUGA
Molecule: ribosomal RNA, 611 nt
Filed under: Escherichia coli
Lineage: Bacteria; Pseudomonadati; Pseudomonadota; Gammaproteobacteria; Enterobacterales; Enterobacteriaceae
Description: partial 23S ribosomal RNA
Rfam family: Bacterial large subunit ribosomal RNA
Source: RNAcentral